GACGAACGCUGGCGGCGUGCCUAAUACAUGCAAGUUGAGCGCUGAAGGUUGGUACUUGUACCAACUGGAUGAGCAGCGCACGGGUGAGUAACGCGUGGGGAAUCUGCCUUUGAGCGGGGACAACAUUUGGAAACGAAUGCUAAUACCGCAUAAAAACUUUAAACACAAGUUUUAAGUUUGAAAGAUGCAAUUGCAUCACUCAAAGAUGAUCCCGCGUUGUAUUAGCUAGUUGGUGAGGUAAAGGCUCACCAAGGCGAUGAUACAUAGCCGACCUGAGAGGGUGAUCGGCCACAUUGGGACUGAGACACGGCCCAAACUCCUACGGGAGGCAGCAGUAGGGAAUCUUCGGCAAUGGACGAAAGUCUGAACGAGCAACGCCGCGUGAGUGAAGAAGGGUUUCGGAUCGUAAAACUCUGUUGGUAGAGAAGAACGUUGGUGAGAGUGGAAAGCUCAUCAAGUGACGGUAACUACACAGAAAGGGACGGCUAACUACGUG
This 496-nucleotide ribosomal RNA is filed under the name uncultured bacterium. RNAcentral's name for it is "partial 16S ribosomal RNA". It matches the Rfam family "Bacterial small subunit ribosomal RNA", at positions 28 to 507 of the family's 1533-position model. The record is from RNAcentral.